RNAcentral lists this ribosomal RNA (835 nucleotides) under Gymnopus similis. RNAcentral's name for it is "eukaryotic LSU rRNA". The stretch from base 220 to 373 matches the Rfam family "5.8S ribosomal RNA". The record is from RNAcentral. Lineage: Eukaryota; Fungi; Basidiomycota; Agaricomycetes; Agaricales; Omphalotaceae.
GGAGAUAGUACUGUUGCUGGCCUUAUGAAUAUAAGGUAUGUGCACGUACUGUUUCUAAUCUAUUCAUCCACCUGUGCAUUUAUUGUAGGAGGUCUUUGAAAGGUUGACUUGUCUUGUACAAUGUUGGCUUGAAAAGGGCUUUCUAUGUUUUCACAAACCUAUUGAAGUAUGUUUUAGAAUGUCUUUUAUUGGGACUUUAUUGGCCCUUUAAACUUAUACAACUUUUAGCAACGGAUCUCUUGGCUCUCCCAUCGAUGAAGAACGCAGCGAAAUGCGAUAAGUAAUGUGAAUUGCAGAAUUCAGUGAAUCAUCGAAUCUUUGAACGCACCUUGCGCCCUCUGGUAUUCCGGAGGGCAUGCCUGUUUGAGUGUCAUUAAAUUCUCAACUUCAAAAGCUUUUAUUAGCCUAUUGAAGCUUGGAUGUGGGAGCUUGCUGGCAUCUUAGAUGAUCGGCUCUCCUUAAAUUUAUUAGUGGAAAUCUCUUUGUUGGAGUGAUCCUUGGUGUGAUAAUUAUCUACGCUUUGGAUGGUCCAAUGUUUCCAUUGAGAUUGACUCAGUACAAUGCCUUUGGUGUUUCUGGGUUUUGUAGUAUUGCGACUAGUUGCUUUACUUGGGUCUCAGAGGAAAAGGGAAGUUUUGCUCUCUAACUGUCUAUGUAUUAUGGACAACUUAUUGACUAUUUGACCUCAAAUCAGGUAGGACUACCCGCUGAACUUAAGCAUAUCAAUAAGCGGAGGAAAAGAAACUAACAAGGAUUCCCCUAGUAACUGCGAGUGAAGAGGGAAAAGCUCAAAUUUAAAAUCUGGCAGUCUUUGAUUGUCCGAGUGUAAUAGAGA